This is a long non-coding RNA of Sapajus apella (tufted capuchin), 2055 nucleotides long. RefSeq lists it as uncharacterized. NCBI's taxonomy places the organism in Eukaryota, Metazoa, Chordata, Mammalia, Primates, Cebidae. The transcript has 2 exons. The record is from RefSeq and is a predicted model, not a curated record.
GAGUAGAGACAAGGUCUUGCUAUGCUGCCCAGGUUGGUAUUGAACUCCUGGGCUCAAGCGAUCCUUCCACCUCGGCCCCCCAAAGUACUGGGAUUACAGAUUACAGGCAUGAGCCACCUCACUCGGCCUGUUUGAUUUUUACCAUUCGGACAGCACUCAAGGCCUGGUUUGGGUGGCCUCCAUCGACAGCACUGAGCUUCCCUCUACCCCGAGGGUCCCAUGUGCCUCUCGGGUUGAAGCCAUGAGAGAAUCCAGAACCACUCCCACCCCCCAAAAAAAGUCUUGCUCACGGCCAGCUGAGUGCUCUACAGCCCCCAAUCUCUGGCUGUGUCAUAGUGUAGUCACCAAACCAGGACUGUGGGCUGUGUCCGGGUCCUUCCUGUUGAGAGUGACGGCAUGUCACUGCUGGCUUCCCGGAGGAUGAGAGGUUCAACUUCUUUGGUUCGACCCCUAAGAUUCUGUCACACUACCUCUAGCUCAGAGACUCUGCCUGUAUUGAAAAACUGGGAGGCAGUGACUUUUCCUCUUUUUUCCUUUCCGAAAUAGAGGGUACUUGGUAAAUGCUGGGUUUGGAAUAUUGGAAUGAAAUGAAGGCUGCGUAGGCCUCUGGGCAGCCUUUGGUGUUAGAAACAGGCUUCAUUCCGGCUGGACUUGAGUUUUGGUUGAGGAGCUCCUAUAUAGGCAAUGCUCUUCACCAGGAAAGGCUGGUGUCUUUUGAAAAGAGAUCUUUUUUAGUUCAUUUCUUAAAAUCCAGUGCUAUGUGAGAGCCAGUCUGAUCUUGUCUAAAUCUGUACUUUCAUUUUCGGUAGCGCCUAAAAGAGACACAGCAGUCCCUGUUCAACCUCUUUUAGGGAAACCGAGAGCUUGGCUGCUUCUCCAUCCCUUCUCUGCUGUUUUCAACAACAAACCCCCUUUGAUGAAGGACCAUUCUGAGACGGGCAGAGCUGGUUCCCCAUUUAUUUCUCCUCUUUUCCAGGCUCCCCUCUGCCACCUCCUGUAUCUCUUCCAACCUUCCUCCCCCAAAGAAAAACAACCACAAACCAAACUUUGAAGAAACAAGGGAGGCUUGUCCCCAUUGGUGAAAUCCCUUGAAAGGAUGUCACUGAGAAAAGGGUCUCUGUGGCUCUCUUUUUCUGCAAGCAUUGGGAGGUCUCUGAGGAUCUGACCUGGGGGACGGGAAUGCUAAUUAUAUGCACAGAAGCCAUUCAUUAGUUGCCACUAACAAGAAGACCUUGGCAAUGCUCUGAAUUCAGAGGUUUUGAAAGAACCCCAAACUGGGCCUGUGACUUUCUUCAAUCUUGUUUUUGUAAAUUAUGUAUAUAUAUUUCUUCCCUCUCCGGCCUCUGUUCUCCUCUGUUGCCCACAGCAACCUCAGCAGUUGGUACCCGCACAGAGUGGAGAGGGCAGGCCGGGUUACCUCGGUGUCCAGCAAUCGUUACUGAGCAAUUCACCAGAGCCUCACAAAGAAAUAGAUUUUCAGAGGUCUAUCCUAAGAGGUCCAUGUUUUCUGGUACCUGAGCAGACAGGUAUGAGCCACCAACUCCCUGGUUCUUUGAGGCCUUUGUUUACCAACCAUGCUUUGUUAACUCUUUAACAUACUGCCCUGCCAUUCACACUUGCCCCCUAUCACCCGCAUGUCCAGUAGCGGAUAGACAGGCAAGGGGGAGAAUUGAAUGAUUAGCCAAAGGCAGCCCAUGUGGAACAGGCAGUCAGGCAGGUUUUUCCCUUUUCCUCUUUACCAGGAGACAGAGCUUUGUCACAAGGAAGUGCCAAAGUUGUCAUGGAAAUAAAUCAUUAGCUAGAUUGAGCUAUCCUUAAUUUGGGCGGGAGCCUGCCAUUAAUAUGUCUAAAUCUCAGUUUACAAAUGAGCACUUGAUGACUUGAUUCCCGACACUUACUCAUGUGAUUCUUUUGAAUCUCAAUAAGACUUUCUUUCUCAUAGAAUGCCAUACGGCUUCUUGGAACAAAGGACAAAUGGGUAGAAUGCUUGAAACAGACCAAAUCAAAGAUUGUGAUUUUUUUUUUUUUUUCUGAAGGGAAGAAAAAAAUAAAAUU